This is a small nuclear RNA of Cricetulus griseus (Chinese hamster), 107 nucleotides long. The record is from Ensembl. Lineage: Eukaryota; Metazoa; Chordata; Mammalia; Rodentia; Cricetidae.
GUGCUAGACCCAGAAGCACACCUACUAACAUUGGAACUUGAGAGAAGAUGAGCAUGGCUCCUGUAAAACAAUAUGACAUGUGAAUUCACAAAGCAUUCCAUAUUUUU